CAUUUACAAACCCUACACAACUCAAGAAAGACACUGCCCUGGCAGUGGCAGAACAAGAGUUUGUGUAUCCAUUGUUCAAGAUGAAUACCUGGAAUAAAGCUGCCAUGAGCACUCUUAAAAAUGCGGUUUCAUUUUUCUUGGGUAAAUACCUAUGGGUCAACUUGCUGGAUCAUAAGAAGAAAGCCAGGAUAACUUGAAUGGAGACAUAUAACUUGAAGGCAUAAAUUUAAAAUAAGGG
Molecule: long non-coding RNA, 238 nt
Organism: Suricata suricatta (meerkat)
Lineage: Eukaryota; Metazoa; Chordata; Mammalia; Carnivora; Herpestidae
Exons: 3
Source: RefSeq, a predicted model, not a curated record